This 425-nucleotide long non-coding RNA is filed under the name Citrus maxima (pomelo). Its description in RNAcentral is "long non-coding RNA (CMAX_LNC003332)". Lineage: Eukaryota; Viridiplantae; Streptophyta; Magnoliopsida; Sapindales; Rutaceae. The record is from RNAcentral.
UGGCAAUUAAUUCUUUUAAGAAUUGUUUAUGUCAUGGAAUCAGACUGGAACAGCAAUAUCCGUAGUCUACAAUAACAAUUGAGGGCACCGGAAGACAAUAUCAAUUAAAGACAAUUGUCAUUGCAAUAUUGCAAUUCAACGCAUUUUUGUUAUCGCUUGUCUGCAACUAAUUUAACAUAAAUUAAGUUGAUAUACCUCAUUUCAGUUGAACGUUGAUGCAGCCACUGAUAUUUCCCGGAACACAGCAUUUUUAGGAGCCAUUAUUCGUACUGUGAGAGGGGAGAUUAAUUAUGGUAGUAGCUAUCUAAAGUUAAAAAAAAAAAAAAAAUUUGAGAUGUUGAAUUCGCUGAAGCAGAAGCAAUGAGAUUUCGGAUCGAAAUAUGCAAAUGAUACAGGUCUAUUUCCAUUAAUUAUUGAAUCACAUA